This 253-nucleotide ribosomal RNA is filed under the name uncultured bacterium. RNAcentral describes it as "partial 16S ribosomal RNA". It matches the Rfam family "Bacterial small subunit ribosomal RNA", at positions 524 to 776 of the family's 1533-position model. The record is from RNAcentral.
UACGGAGGGGGCUAGCGUUGUUCGGAAUUACUGGGCGUAAAGCGCGCGUAGGCGGCUUUGUAAGUUAGAGGUGAAAGCCCGGAGCUCAACUCCGGAACUGCCUUUAAGACUGCAUCGCUAGAAUUGUGGAGAGGUGAGUGGAAUUCCGAGUGUAGAGGUGAAAUGCGCAGAUAUCAGGAAGAACACCCGUGGCGAAGGCGGCUCUCUGGGACGGUACUGACGCUGAGACGCGAAAGCGUGGGGAGCGAACAGG